AAGAAGUUAGUUUAAUAAAAACAACUGGUUUCGGCCCAGUAAAACUUAGUUAUACCCUAAGACUUCUCU
RNAcentral lists this transfer RNA (69 nucleotides) under Amphipholis squamata. Its description in RNAcentral is "transfer RNA-Arg". It matches the Rfam family "tRNA". From Rfam's summary of the family: Transfer RNA (tRNA) molecules are approximately 80 nucleotides in length. Their secondary structure includes four short double-helical elements and three loops (D, anti-codon, and T loops). Further hydrogen bonds mediate the characteristic L-shaped molecular structure. tRNAs have two regions of fundamental functional importance: the anti-codon, which is responsible for specific mRNA codon recognition, and the 3' end, to which the tRNAs corresponding amino acid is attached (by aminoacyl-tRNA synthetases). tRNAs cope with the degeneracy of the genetic code in two manners: having more than one tRNA (with a specific anti-codon) for a particular amino acid; and 'wobble' base-pairing, i.e. permitting non-standard base-pairing at the 3rd anti-codon position. The record is from RNAcentral. Lineage: Eukaryota; Metazoa; Echinodermata; Ophiuroidea; Amphilepidida; Amphiuridae.